Molecule: ribosomal RNA, 173 nt
Filed under: uncultured Fodinicola sp.
Lineage: Bacteria; Bacillati; Actinomycetota; Actinomycetes; Mycobacteriales
Description: partial 16S ribosomal RNA
Rfam family: Bacterial small subunit ribosomal RNA
Source: RNAcentral
UCCUACGGGAGGCAGCAGUGGGGAAUAUUGCGCAAUGGGCGAAAGCCUGACGCAGCGACACCGCGUGCGGGAUGAAGGCCUUAGGGUCGUAAACCGCUUUCGGCAGGGACGAAGCGAAAGUGACGGUACCUGCAGAAGAAGGUCCGGCUAACUACGUGCCAGCAGCCGCGGUA